UGAACAAACACGGGGAGCCGCUCGGCUGAGAGUAAGCAUCCGCUUAGACCCGCAUACCUGAUUUGGACAAUGCCAACGUAGGGAUUCAUACUGCCGGACCG
RNAcentral lists this non-coding RNA (101 nucleotides) under Firmicutes bacterium CAG:103. Its description in RNAcentral is "TPP riboswitch aptamer (THI element)". It matches the Rfam family "TPP riboswitch aptamer (THI element)". Rfam says of the family: Vitamin B(1) in its active form thiamin pyrophosphate (TPP) is an essential coenzyme that is synthesised by coupling of pyrimidine and thiazole moieties in bacteria. The previously detected thiamin-regulatory element, thi box was extended, resulting in a new, highly conserved RNA secondary structure, the THI element, which is widely distributed in eubacteria and also occurs in some archaea. The record is from Rfam by way of RNAcentral. RNAcentral also lists the same sequence under 1 other name. Lineage: Bacteria; Bacillati; Bacillota.